GAGAAAAACAUUUCUUGGUACUUUUUGAGCAUCAAAUAAAAAUUUAAGUUAAUUAUCCGAAUCAAUUAUUCAAACUCAGGUUCUAGAGGGAUACUAUUCGGAGGCUUCGGAAAAAGAUAUUAUAGCUUUGGUGUCCAGGUAGGCUAGGCUUACCCUACCUUUAGAUUGAUUUUAUUUACUGAAAUUGAAAACUAUUACGCUAGCGUUGGAUAGGUGCUUGUAGAUGCGUAUCAUGUGAUUUAUAUAAACUAUCGUAUUUAUCUGGAUUAGGAUCCCGUUUUAGUAAAUAUUGGAAUAUUAUUUUUUUAGUAUAAUAUAGCAUCUAUUACUUUAGGAUGUGAAACUAAAAUACAAAAAUCUUGAAUUUAUUCCUUUUUAAUUAAAAUUAACGGAUGAUUAUUUAGAUGUUGACAUUGUUAUGAUAUGAUAUGGAUUUUAAUAUUACCGUUGGGUAUGGUUACUAUGAGUUUCGGUUCGAUUCUGGCAUUUGAUUAUUAAUGAUACUAUGAGUUUCAGUUCGAGUCCGACAUUUGAUUAUUAUGGUUACUAUGAGUUCCAGUUCGAGUCUGGUAUUUGACUAUUAUGGUUACUAUAAGUUCUGGUUCGAGUCCGACAUUUGAUUAUUAUAGUUACUAUGAGUUCCGGUUCGAGUCCGGCAUUUGAUUAUUAUGGUUACUAUGAGUUUCGGUUUGAGUCCGGCAUCUGAUUAUUAUGGUUACUAUAAGUUCUGGUUCGAGUCCAGUAUUUAAUUAUUAUGGUUACUAUGAGUUCCGGUUCGAGUCCGACAUCUGAUUAUUAUUGUUACUAUGAGUUCCGAUUUGAGUCCGACAUCUGAUUAUUAUGGUUACUCUGAGUUCCGGUUCGAGUCCGAUAUCCGAUUAAGAGUUUUAUAUAUGUGGCCUAUCGUUAUUACCCACUAUGUACGGUUCAAAUCCAGCGCGUAUCCUCUCGUUGCUACCCAUUGAUAUCGAUUUGAGUCUAGUGCACAUCUGGACGACUAUCAUGAUUGCUUGAGAUAAGUUCAGUUACAGAUUAUUUAUGUUUAUUUUCACUACUUGUGUGUCCCACCGACUUAUGAGGUUACGAUUGGGUUAACUAUCUUCUUCAGUGUGCCUAGCGAGCUUAUGAAGGCCCAGUUAGGUUAUAUUUGACUUUUCUAUCAUUACUGCAUUAUGUAUUUUCUGUAUUGCUUACAUUUAUUCCUUUAUCUUAUUGGCGUAGCUUGGCAGUUUUUUACCCUUUUUGUCCCUUUACUGUUGACUUGGAUGACCUCUUUGCAUUGUAGUUAUACCUUUUCUGUAUUGAACUCAGUCGGCCGAUGAUGCUUACUGAGUACCCGUUGUUUUGGUAUUCAUACUACACUUCUGUAUCUUUUUCCUGAUGCAAAUUCGAGUACUAGCAGUCGACAUUGACGUGACUCCUACCUUCUAGAACUUAUUAAGUGCAGGGUCAGCUUGGUGUCGUCCGAGGCUGAUCCUCCUCUAUCUACUCCAGUUAGUCUUUACUUUCGAGACUGUUUGUGUAUACUAUGUACAUUUUAGAUUUUUAUCUAAUACUCUGGGUAUCUAUUAGUAGUGGCUCUAGUACUGACUUUAUUAGGUCUUGGGAGGGAUUCAUUUGUAUAGUUGAUCCUUUUUCCUCCUCUCAUUUUAAUAUAAUGUAUAUGCUCUCUUCUUAGUUUUCACUUAUUAUUGAUGUUGCUAUCUUUAUACGUGAUCUUUUAUUUGGUCUCUGCCUGUUGGCCCGUUACCUAUCAUUCUGGACUUUGGCUUGGCUUGCCUACUGGUGGAUUAAAGUAGGCGCCAUCAAGACUUGAGAAAUCGGAUUGUGACAUAAUGUAAAGUAUAACCCAUUCGUUUACGAAUCUUAUGAAGAUCAUGGCGAAAAUGUAGUGAUGAUUGUAAAGUUUCGUAUUCCUCUUCUUGUAGUACUUCUUUUCAAGGUCGAAUAGAUAUGAAUAUUUAUGCUAACUAUAAUAGAGGUUGCUCCAUGGGAAUGAAAGAGUGUACAUCUCCAAAGCUUAGGGGUACUACAUUUUACUCUUUUUUUCCUAGUGCCCAAACAUAGAAUUCAAGAUCUUUCUACUCUCCCAAUCAAUGUGAAAGAGUCGGGUCCCAAAGAAUAUCUUGACUGAGAAUGGGAGUAUGAAAGGAUCUUCAUGGAUCAUGAUAUGAAUGGAUUUGAAAAAGCUACGCGUGCCACUAGACAUAUUUAAGGUCUGACAUCAAUUUGGUGGGACAUCAAAAGAAAGUCCGACCAAACAUGGAGUACCUUGAAGGAAUUCAUGAGGGGUGCCCAUGUACCAUUGGGGCAUACGAAGCUUUACAAUGUUGAUCAAAGAAGAAAUGUUCAUUCUGAAAAGGUAAAUAUUUGUGCAUUUCCAGGAUGCCCUCUUGUUAUAGACGAAUGGUGCUAUAGGAACUACACCAUUCCACCCAUGGUUGACCAUCUAGGUAUACCUCGAGAACCUCUACUUGUUCCUUACUUCUUGGAUGGGUAUAAGGUUUUUGAGAGAGUGAAGGUUUUCUUCACCCAAUGUGGGUACUAUGAGGAGGUGUGGUGUGACUCUUCCCCUUGGAACAAGGUCAUUUAUGCUUUGGUGCUGAUUGGUUUGCACAAUAUAGAUUUCAAAUGUGCAAAAUUGUCCUAAGAUUGUAAAAGAUCAAUAGGGAAAUCAUCUCUUUCCAUCAAUUCUUCCCAAAUGUCAAAGAGAUGUGACAACUUACUCCAAGCCUAAAGAAAUUAAGAGACAAGAGAUUGAGAGGAGUGAGGGGGUGCAAGGUGGCAACCUAAAAGAGGGGGAAAAAGUGAGGAGUGAAGUGAGGGGAUUUUCACCAACCAGAGCUAACAUUGUUUGUCCUUCUUUUAAUAAGGACAUUUGUGUAGAUACCAACAUGGCAAACGGAGGAGAACAAGUCUCAAAAGAAAAGAUUCCCUUUAAAGAUUUGAUGAGGGUAAUCUUAGAUGCUUAGAAAUCUUAUGGAGUACCUUCACACCAAGGUAAAAAAGAAUAUUCUCAAGAACUUCAAGGUAAAAUAGCUAACUUUUACACUAUUGUGCAUGAGAAUGAUGAUUGUGUGGCUAGUAGCCCAUUGAGUGUGAGUAGUAGCUUACCUACAUGUGAGUCUAACUAUUCUUUACCUCUUUAUGAUGAUGUACAUGUUGUGAAAAUGGAUACACUAGUUGAUCCUAUUGAUGAUUGAAUUGACUCUUCUUAUAAGAUCAAUUUGUGUCCACCUAUUGUUAAAGCCAUUUUGUUGAAUUAUAGCACAUCAUCUUGUGAAAAUAAUGUUGAUCAACUUUUGUGUGAAACUUACCCACCAUUUGAGGAUGUGUAUGAUGUGAUUAAUGAACCUCAAGUGAGUGAUAAUAUUGAAAAUAUUGAUCAAGUGAAUAGGAGUGACCCUUUGAGCAUGUCCUCUAGUGAAGGUCAUAAUGAUAGUUUGGCUCGUAGGGAUAGUCAUGUGUUUGAAACAUCUUUGAUGCUUGAUAAUUGUCUUUUACAGAGUGAACUUGCAUAUUCUACAUCCUUUUCUUGGAUAAACCUUUUUAUCUUUAAGAACAAUAUCCUAUUUGAAGAUGAUGAAAUCACUCCUAAUAAAUUACCUUGUGGUGUGUAUAGCAUUGAUGAUGCAACUCAUCUUGAGGGUUAUAUCAUAUAUGACAACCUACUAUGGUGUGACAACAUUCCUUCUAAAGAUGGAAAUAUCUUCUUGGAUGAUGAGAGUACCCUUAAGGGAAAUAAAUUUGAAGUCUUGGAAAGGAAUAGUCAAUUUGAGUGAUGAUAACUUUGAUUUGCCUGAAUAUUUGAGAAACCUAAUUAAUAAUUGUUCCUAUGAAAAUGCUCGUGGUUGUGAUCCUUUGUACGACACCCCACCUUUGUUUGAUAAUUAUGAGGAUGAAUUCCUUACUUCUUGUGAAGACUUAAGCAAUAGUUCAUUUGAAGUUAGUGAUGGUAUAUGUCUACUUGAGGAUUCUUCCAUUGAAGGAUAAAGUAUCAAUUGUUUAGAAACCGCUUCUUCUUCUACUUUCUAUGCUCCUAUUAUUGAGAAUACUCCCGACGAUGAUCUUGAAUCUAAUAUUGAGUACAUACAUGAGGACAUCUUAGUUAAAGUUGACUUGAGUGAUACCUUUCUCUACUCUCCCUUGGUUUUUGAUGAUGCUUAUACUAAUGCAAAGAGUAUAUCUUUUAGUUUGGUUGAAGCCUAUAGGUAAAAAGAGUGUUGUCUAGAUCUGUGUCUAUGUCCACUCUAUCCAUUUGACCCCGGUGCCAAAUUUGGAUAUGGUGAUUUUGGUACACCUAAUUUUUUGCUUCGUCUAUGUGACAAAAAAAAUUUGAGUAAGGAUGUUGGUACCCUUUCCUAUGAUGGAAAGUCUUUUGUGGGGAUAUAUGAUCCUCUAAAUGGAUCAACAUUGUGUAAGGAAAAGAUCUCCAACAAAGAUGAGAAAUUUUUAAAGAAGAGGAGUAGUGAAAAGCUCCAAGAGAGUUCACCAAUGUGUGUCUCUACUCUUGACCAAGGUUCUACUACAUGUAGGUCAAGAAAGUUUUCUCUUGAAACUAAUUUGGAUGAAUUCCAUUCAUGUGAUAUCCUCCUUCAAUGCUUGAGUAGAAUUGAUGACCUCCUUCUUAAAGGUGGUAUCAUUCUUAAGAACCCGAGAGAAAAUGUGUCCUUGUCUUCUUUGGGUAUUACUUAUAAACUUGCAUCCUUGCUUGACACACUUGUGCUUAAAUUGUGUAACAACCAACUUGUGCAUGCCAAGUUGAUUAUUUGCCUGAAAGGAAGAAGUCCUACCGACUGAAGUGUCUUGACUCCAUCCUUGUGCGCAUCAUGUGCUAAGUAUUUUGAGCCAAAUGACAUUCUCAUUGAUAAUAACACCUUGGAUGAUUUUUUUUACACUUGAUUCCUUUCUAUACUACCAUUUUUUCCGUGAUGAUAUCCAUACUAGUCUUGGAUGUGUUUUAUGUAGAGGUGGAAAAAUUAUUGGUUUGUUCACUUGUUUGAGUAAUAAUGUUAUAUGAAUUUUGUAGACUUGAGAACCAAUAGAGGCACCACCUUUGGUGUGGUCUCUUGAAGAGAUAAUGAAGCAAUUGUGUCUUAUGACUCAUAUGGUGAAGGUAGUUCUACCUUUUAGAUUAUUUGAUGCCAUUAGGACCUUUGUAGUUUCCUUAUCUCUUGAUGAUUUCCCUAACCAAAUCCUUUGUGCAUUUUUCAAUGAGUUUCUAGUGUUUAACAUAUCGUGUUUUUUAUCCUUCCUUUGGUUUUGCAAGGUUUGGAUCUGAGGUCGAAUCCUUUUCAAGAAGGGGAGGAUGAUAGAAGUUAAAUAGGCGUCAACGCUUUUGAUCACACAACUUGAGGCCAACAUAAGGAGGUCUAAGACUUGAUCGCCCUAAGGAUCCAAGAAUGUGCUUGAAGGCCCUUCUUCGAGCUUCUAAAAAAAUGUCGUGCUUGGAAGAUAGCUUGGAUCCAAGGAAAUCCAUGGCACAAGGAAUAAAGAGAUCCCUUAUGGGUUAUUUCCAAAAUUGCCA
This 5527-nucleotide long non-coding RNA is filed under the name Capsicum annuum. RNAcentral describes it as "long non-coding RNA (CANN_LNC020816)". The record is from RNAcentral. Lineage: Eukaryota; Viridiplantae; Streptophyta; Magnoliopsida; Solanales; Solanaceae.